CUCUGUUUCUGUUUGCAUUUCUCUAAUUAUUAAUGAUGGUAAGCAUAUUUUUUCUUUAUUUUUAUAGACAGGGUCUUGCUCUGUCGCCUAGGCUGGAGUGCACAUGACCAUAGCUCACUGCAGCCUCAAACUCCUGGGCUUAAGUGAUCCUUCCACCUCAGCCUCCUAAGUAGCUGGGAUUACAGUCAUGCACCACCACACCUUGCUAAUUUAAUUAAUUAAUUAUUAUUUUUUUUUUUGGUAGGGACAAGGUCUCACUAUGUUGCCCAGGCUUGUCUCAAACUCCUGGGCUCAAGUAAUUGUCCUGCCUUGGCCUCUCAAACUGUUGGGAUUAUAGUUAUGAGCCGUCACACCCAGCCUAAGUAUCUGCUUACUUAUUUGUUUUUAUUUUGAAAAGUUCCAAACACAUUGAAAAGUUAAAAAAAAAAAAAAAAGGACACAGAACACCUCCUGUGUAUACCCUCCACUUCUAAUUGCGCAUUUCCUGCAAACUAGAAGUUUUGUGUAGAGGCUUGAAUAGGUUCAGGUGAAACUUUUCAACUUGGCAUCUUUAAUAAUAUUAGCAGGUGAGAGUACUGAGCGUUUUCUAUGGGCCAAUGGUCUCACACCGAUAUUCUCACGGAAUCUCAUAAUGACUCUGGGUAGAGGAUGCAGUGGUUGCUUCUACCUCCCUAGAAUCCACAGCGCUCUUUCCUGGUAAUGACAUUUUGAUUUUCCUCACAGAAAUCACUCAUCCUUUGUCGAUCCACCUGCUCAGAUGAGGCUGACCUCAACUUCCAACCCCAGAGGUACAUGUGACUGAGGCAUUACAACUAGAGAUGCCUUGAUUGGCCAGGGAGAGGCACGUGAUCCAUGUUGGGCCAAUAAGAGCCAGCCUCUGAGCUACCGUAGAUCAUUGAAUAGAAGGCAUCAUCGGGAGAUUGGUUUGUCAAAUGGAUACAGGCCUGAGAGAAAACAUCAACUAAAAAGACAUCAGUUUUGUCUGCCUCACGUCACUUUCUGCAAAGGCUGUAAUGUGAUCUUUUUGAUGGCUGACUCUAAAUCCUAUGU
RNAcentral lists this long non-coding RNA (1050 nucleotides) under Macaca mulatta (Rhesus monkey). RNAcentral describes it as "lncRNA (ENSMMUG00000054384.1)". The record is from RNAcentral. Lineage: Eukaryota; Metazoa; Chordata; Mammalia; Primates; Cercopithecidae.